ACGCUCGACACCUACGGAGGCAGCAGUUGGGAAUAUUGGACAAUGGAGGAAACUCUGAUCCAGUGACGCCGCGUGAAGGAAGAAGGUCUUCGGAUUGUAAACUUAUUUUGUCAGGGAAGAAAAAAUGACUGUACCUGAAGAAAAAGCACCGGCUAACUACGUGCCGGCAGCCGCGGUAAUCUGAGCGGGCUGGCAAGGC
RNAcentral lists this ribosomal RNA (199 nucleotides) under uncultured bacterium. Its description in RNAcentral is "partial 16S ribosomal RNA". It matches the Rfam family "Bacterial small subunit ribosomal RNA", at positions 328 to 539 of the family's 1533-position model. The record is from RNAcentral.